This is a long non-coding RNA of Antechinus flavipes (yellow-footed antechinus), 488 nucleotides long. RefSeq lists it as uncharacterized. NCBI's taxonomy places the organism in Eukaryota, Metazoa, Chordata, Mammalia, Dasyuromorphia, Dasyuridae. The record is from RefSeq and is a predicted model, not a curated record. The transcript is spliced from 2 exons.
CAGCUUCAGAGGCUCAUCUCACUACUGGUAUGAAGGUGUUCUCCCCAUCUGGACCACAAGAAAAUCUGGAGAAGGAUUAGGAUCUGAAGCUUUUAUCAAGGGUUAGGUUUCCUCCAUCAGAGCUUGGGAGGAUUUCUCCUACAUUUGCUUCUGUCUGCGUAGAGGGUGGCUGUGAGUAGAGCAAUGGAGCUGGUGUAAGAGUUCAAAUCUAGCUGUGGACAUGACCCUCUUCCUGCCUCAAGUUCCCUGUCUGCCAAAUGGGGAUAAUAAUAGUUCCCACGUCCCAGAUUGCUGAGAGGGUCAAAGGAGUGACAAGAAGUUUCUCAGUGAUCAUCAACCCAGCUUCAACUUCUGAGCUUAGAGAGUCUGAGAAACUAAGUGGUUUGUCCAGGAUAUUCAGCUGGUAUGUGCUGGAGGUUUCUGACCCCAACGUCAGCUGCCUUUUGUACCACAAUAAACACCCAUUUACAUAAAGUUCUUAAAACACU